UUUAUCCAGCUCUGGCCAUAGACAACCAAGCUCACCUGUACGUAUUCAACAACGGCACCGUGGAUGUCACAAUCUCAAGGCUCGAUGCCUGGAGCAUGAAGAAAGCUCAACUUGUUUCUGCCAAUAUAUAGAAAACCCCAUAUCAAUUGACAAUGUAGUUUUGAAUAAGGCUGGACAGAUCAUUGAUUACUCUCUAUUUGUACACAAAGUCUCUGGUGCAAUAACAGAGCUCUAUUUGCUCAAAAUUGAACAGAUCAUUGAUUACUCUCUAUUUGUACACAAAGUUUCUUGUGCAAUAACAUAGCUCUAUUGGUCAAAAUUGAUGUUUUGUCAGAAUAAUUUAUGGUAUUUCAUUUUGAUUUCCUCAAUAAUUACAAUUGAAUUUUUCGAAUCAGAUUAAAAAAAUUACAUUUAUUGUAUAACUUAAUUUCAACUAUCAUUUAACAUUUAGAAAACUGGAUUCAUGUUAAUUCAAAGUUUUUCUCUCUUUUUUGGUCAACUCAACACGUAUAAUAAGUAUUAGUAUUUCACCAUAUACUUCUCUGACUUUCACUCUUUUCGGAGCCGCAUUUUCCUUUAUCGGCAAUGAGUACUUGUUUGAACAUCGAUCAGCAGCAGCAAAAAGUCUUCUCUUUUUUUUUUGUUAUUCGCAAUUAUCAUUUCUUUCUCUUUCUGCAGCUGCUUCUUCAUAUAGCUUUCUUUCAUUCCAUUAUUCUAUACUAUUCAAUCCCAUCAAACCUUACAUGUUAAGCACAAGUGAAGUACUACUUAAAAUAGAAUAACUAAAAUAAGUAAAGUAUUAUCUCAUAUGAAACAACUAAUACAAAUAGAAUAGUUAUUUUGAAUAGAAUAACCACUUCACUUGGAUGACAACGAAAGCAAUUCGAAAUGAGUGGCAAAACUCAUGGAUUACUUUCAUCUUGAGAUGUUCUGAAGAAUUUGAUUUGGUGGCUUAGAUAUGGAGGUAGUUAAGAGGCAUUCCUCUUAACUUUUUUUUGAAGUACAAGUGUUUCACCCUCAUACAUUGUUCUCGUAUACCUAUUCUCGUACAACUUCUUAUCCUAUACUUGUUCACGUACAACUUCUUCUCUUUUACCUUUUCACGUGUACCUCUUUUCUAUUACCUUUUACUUGAGAACAAGUCUUAUUACAUCAAAUUACAGUAAUGGUUAUUCAUAUUAAUGUUCUUCAUAAUAAUGUCAUUCAUUAUGAGCAUUAAACCCAAUUCUUAAGUAACCGCCACUUUUAGCACUAUAUAUAAAACCUCACAAUUCAUUUAGGGGGCUUUUAUCUCCCCGUCCGAGCUAACACAUUCUUAACUUGAGAGCUUUUCUCUCUAAAUCAUCUCUCUAAUUCUUUUCUUAUUAUCUUCCACUUGCCACAACAUUCAAUACUUUGGGAACUGCUCCAAUCUUCCGCUCUGUCGUCUCUGACGCAUCCUUUUACUUGUUUAAAAUGCUUCCUCUCCUUAUUACAAGAACCCCAUUUACAAUGUGUUAGAUGAAUUUGACGUCUAAGCAUUGCAGAGGAGCAUGGGAGACAAGGUAAGCAAUUUCUUUUCAAGCUCAAACCCACUUGCUUUUCAGCUUAGAAUGGCCCAUAAGAUUAAAAUAGUUGCAGAGGGAUUUGGUGAGAUUGCUGCUUUGAAAAACAAUUUUCAUCUCACUGAAAGACAUGAUGGCACAAGGCAUGUCGCGCCCUUGGAUAGGGAGACCCACUCCUUUGUUCAAGCAUCAGAUAUUAUUGGUAGAGAUGAAGACAAAGAAAAAAUUAUAAAAACUUUGCUGCAAGAUCCAACUGAUGGGGAAGACAUAUCUGUCCUUCCUAUAGUUGGAAUUGGAGGUCUUGGAAAGACUGCCCUUGCAAAAUUGGUGUUCAACGAUGAGUGUGUAGAUAGGCAUUUUGAGUUGAAGAUGUGGGUGUGUGUUUCAUAUGAUUUUGAUUUGAAGCAAUUAAUGAUAAAAAUCAUUAAAGCUGCAAAGGGGGUACUUAAUGGAGAUUGUAGUAACAUGGAUUUAGAACAAUUACAAAAAGUCUUACGAGUUGUUUAGAUGAAAAAAAGUAUUUACUUGUUUUGGAUGAUUUAUGGAAUGAGGACCGUAUCAAAUGGGAUGAACUUAAACAGUUGUUAGUGGAAGGAGGUAGGGAAAGUAGAAUUGUAGUCACCACUCGUAGUAACCAAGUUGCAGAGAUCAUGGGUACAAUCCCAACAUACAAAUUGCAAGGUCUUCCAGAAAAGGAAUCUUUGUGUUUAUUUCUCCAAUUUGCUUUCAAGAAAAGGGAUGUGAAACAAUAUCCAAAUCUAGGAAAAAUUGGGGAAGAAAUAGCCAAAAAAUGCAAGGCAGUUCCUUUGGUUUUGAAAAUACUUGGGAGCUUACUUCUCUCCAAACCGUCGGAACAUGAUUGGAAACUUGUGAGAGAUAGUGAGAUGUGGAAAUUAGUGCAAAAGGAAAACAACAUGUUUCCUGUUUUGAAAUUGAGUUAUGAUCAAUUGCAUCCAUAUUUGAAACAAUGUUUUGCUUAUUUUUCAAUUUUUCCAAAGGAUGCCGAAUUUUCUGACGGGGGGUUGAUCCAAUUUUGGAUGGCUCAUGGUUUGCUUCAAUCUUCCAUUGAAAAUAAAGAACCGGAAGACAUUGGUAGGCAGUAUUUGAUUGAUCUAUCAUUAAGAUCUUUUUUAUAAGAUUUUAUCCAAAAUAUUUCCAAUAAUUAUUUUAAAAUGCAUGAUCUUUUACAUGAUCUUGCAUUAUCAGUGGCAGAGAAGGAGUGGUCUAUGUCAAACUCUUUCAAGCAAAAUCUUACUCAAAGGGUUUGACAUUUGUGCCUUGACAAUUCGAAUUUCCUUGAGGGAAGCCCUUCUAAAGUCUUUGAUAUUGAUAAAUUACGUCACAUGCGUACAUUUCGAUUUUAAGAUAUGAAAGAGGGUCCUAGCAAUGAAUCUUUUAUUGAAAAAUGCCUUUCCGCAUUUCAUGAUUUAUGAGUGUUGGAUUUACGUAGAUCUUGUAUCAAGGCAUUGCCCAACAAGAUUGGUAAUUUGAAGCAUUUAAGGUAUCUCGACCAAAGCGGCAAUUUCCAUAUUAAGAAACUUCCAAAUUCUAUAUGUAAAUUACAAAAAUUGCAAACUCUGCUUUUGAUGUGUUUGGGAAUUGAAAAGUUGCCUUGAGAUAUGAGAUUCAUGAUCAAUAUCCGGAUGUUAAAAAUAAGUACGAGACAAAGGGUUCUAACUGAGAAUGAACUUGAGCAAUUGAAAUCUUUUCGGUGUUUAGUAAUUGCUUGUUGUGAAAAUCUGGAACAUUUGUUUGAAGGAAUCGAGAACCUUACGUCCCUUGAAACAAUAAUGAUAGGUAAUUGCACAAGCUUGAUGUCACUUCCAACUGGCAUGAAAUCUUUAACAGCAUUAAAAUAUCUGAUAAUUUCUUUUCUUUUCUCCAAUUUCAUAUAAAUGUUAGCAAAUGAUCAGUCCGAUAAUUAGGUACGAGUUAAGUUCUUUUCUUUUCUAUUUUUUUUCAAUUGUCUUCAAAAAAAUUUUGUAAAUCCUUGUUAAUUAUUGGCAGGGCAAAUCACCAUCUCUUGGCAGGUGGACUAAAGGACUCUUCCGGUAUCUAAAGGAUAAAUCUUAAAAUUGAGCGCAGGCAUAUUCUUGGCUGGCCACAUGUCCUGCAUGUUGUGUUGUAAUUUCUUUGUUCUGUUGAUUGUAUCAAAUCUUGGGAAUUUUAUUUUUCGUUCCUCCGUUUAUUAUUUUCAUGAAUGCAAAUAGGGGUAUUGUGAGUUUUGCCCAUCUUACGUAAACCAUCUUUAGUUCUGCAAAAGAAACAAGGGGUUGCUGUUAUGGUUGGGUGAGUAUGUUUGUUUCUCUCCAAAAUUAGAGACUUUGGAGAGAACUUCAUUAACUCCUACAAUGCCUUGUACUUUCAAAUCAGACAUUUUGUUGUUUCAUAAGUUAUAAUAAUUGAAAUCCUGUUAUAGUUUGCUCAUCUAAUUUUACAUUCCCUAGCCCGUGUCACUAGAAACUAAUUUCUGCUUCUAAGUGUAGACAGUUUUCAUAUAGCAUAAAUAAUUUCGUAAUAUUUCAUGGAUAUUUUCAACAAAAGAGAAAAGAAGCAAUUCCAGAAAAAAAUAUAUAAUUGAAUAAAUAAAAUAAAAAUCAAAUUUUAAAACAGCAGAUUAGGAAGCUGUCGCCAGAGUUACUUAGCUCGACGUGUGAUUAGGUUUCAUUGCGUCCUUCCCAAGCUUCCUUCUCAUUUCGCGGCUGCUUCUUGAAUCAAUCUGAAUUCUAUUUGCUUCAAUCAGUGGCAACAAAUAUCAUUUCACACAAAUUCUCUUCCUAUCCUCCUCCUUGUCAAGACCACCACCUCAAAAAAAUCAUGGCUGAAUCCUUCGCAUUUAACCUUGUAGAAAAAGUAACUUAGUAACUUAGAAAAAGUCACUGCAAUGAAAUUUUAAUUUAAAAAAGAAUCAACCUGAUGAUUAGGUAAGGCCUAAUUUAGACAACCAAGCUCACCAAUUGCUUUGACAAGGUCAGGAAGGAAGAGAGAUUCUCUAUCUAAUUCAUGUAUGCAUAACAGCAGUAACAGCAAACUGAUCAAUCAGCUUUUUACUAAUUAUGAUCUAGAAAGUUGGAUAAUCUUUUAUUUUUACAGUUAUUCACUCAUUCUACGAUUUUCCUUUUGCUGUUUCAACCAGUAAAAUUGAAAGAAUAUUUCAAGUAUUUUUCUUAUUUGAAUUCUUUGAAGAUAUUCAUUCACGUGCUUUUGAUUGUUAAUCAUAUGUUAGGGAUGUGACCAAAAACAAAUACAUAGUAAUUAUUAAUAUAAAAGAAAAGAUUUUCAUUAAUUAGGUAUUGAAGUAAACAGGAGAUCUCUUGCAUACUUGAUACUCGCUUUGAUAGGUUUCAAAUAGAACUUGACACCACAAACUUUUCAGCAAAUACUUACAUAUAUUGUCUAGAAUAAUGAUGAUAUUUCCAUUUAAACUUACUGAUUACAUUAUCAUUUUUUUUUAUUGAUUCAUUUCAACUCCCACUAGUGAUGCAUCUACAACAAUUAAUCCAUUUUUAUUGAUUGAAGCCCGUUAAAGUUUUGGCCCAUCAAAUCCAAACACAGCUUGGUUGCACAAAAUUCAUUUCUUUUUUUUAUUAUUUAUAUGACGCAAGUUGUAUAGCAAAUUGUUGUAUUUUAGUAUUUAAUUAAUAUGAGGUUUGCACCGGGAAGCACCACACCCAACUGCUCUGCCCUUUUCCAAGUCAACAUAAUUUUCCUUGCAUCUUUCUUUCCCUUUUUUUCUCUUUUCCCAGCUGCUUCGACCUGCAUUAUUGUUUGACGAUCGUCGGUAGAAACAGACAACAUUUCGUAGAAAUUCUCUUCCUCUCCAACAGUUUCUUCCUUUCUUUUCCUCCUCCUUGUUUAAUUCCAUCAAGAAACCUCAUCAGCAGAAGACUUACCACAAUUUCCCCCCACCAAUAAUGGCUGAAUCCUUCGCAUUUAACAUUGCUGAAAAUGUCCUCUCAAAACUAGCCAAUAUUGCAUAUCAAGAAAUUCGCCUUGCCAGGGUGGUCCAGAGUGACCUUGAAAAGCUUAAGACGACUUUAACUACCAUCAAAGCUGUGCUUUUUGAUGCUGAAGAAAAACAGGCUCAUGACAGUCAGCUGCGGGUUUGGCUUCAAGAGCUUAGGGAUGCCAGUUAUGAUGCAGAAGAUGUGUUGGAUGAAUUUGAAAUCGAAGCACUGCGGAAGCAAGUUGUGAAACAGAAGAGCAUCGGAAAGCAGGUAAGCCAUUUCUUUUCAAGCUCAAACCCACUUGCUUUUCGGUUUAGGAUGGCACAUAAGGUUAAAAAAGUUACUGAGAGAUUCGUUGAGAUUGCUGCUUUGAAAAAUAAUUUUCAUCUCAUCGAGAGACAUGAUGGCCCUGGGCAUGUCGUGCGCUUGGACAGGGAGACCCACUCCUUUGUGCAGGCAUCGGAGGUCAUUGGCAGAGAUGAAGAGAAAGAGAGAAUCAUAAAAAUGUUAAUGCAAGAUCCAGCUGAUGCGGAAGACAUUUCCGUCCUUCCCAUAGUUGGAAUCGGAGGUCUGGGGAAGACCGCCCUUGCGAAAUUGGUAUUCAAUGAUGGAAGGAUAGAUAGGCAUUUUGGGUUGAAAAUGUGGGUGUGUGUUUCAGAUGACUUUGAUCUGAAACGAUUAGUUCUGAAAAUCAUGAAAGCUGGAAAGGAGGGUGAUGGAGACCUUGGUAACAUGGAUUUGGAGCAAUUACAGAAGGUGUUACGAGAUUGUUUGAAGGGUAAUAAAUAUUUACUCAUCUUAGAUGAUGUGUGGAGUGAGGAUAAUAGAAAAUGGCAAGAACUGAAACAAUUGUUAGUGGGAGGAGCUAGUGGAAGCAAAAUUGUGGUCACCACUCGCAGUAACCAAGUUACAAAGAUUGUCGGCACAAUCCCUCCACAAAAUUUAGAAGGUCUUCCUUACGAUCAAUCUUUAUCUUUGUUUCUCAAAUUUGCAUUCAAGAGAGGAGAAGAGAAACAACAUCCCAAUCUUGUAAAAAUUGGGGAAGAUAUUGUUAAAAAAUGCAAAGGGGUUCCUUUGGUUGUGAAGACAAUGGGGAGUUUACUUUUCUCCAAAAUUUCAGAACAUGAGUGGAGACUUGUGAAAGAUAGUGAAAUGUGGCAAUUAAUGGAAAAAGAAAAUGAAAUAUUUUCUGUUUUAAAACUAAGUUAUGAUCAACUGCCUCCUCAUUUAAAGCAAUGUUUUGCUUAUUAUUCAGUCUAUCCAAAGGAUUAUGCUUUUGUUGAAUUUGAGUUAAUCCAAUUUUGGAUGGCUCAUGGUCUUCUUCAAUCCUCUAAAAAAAAUGAAGAUCCGGAGGAUAUUGGGCGGCAGUAUUUGAACCACCUAUCAUCAAGGUGUUUUUUCCAAGAUUAUCAGGAUAAAGGUUUUCUUAUUGAAUUUAAAAUGCAUGAUCUUUUGCAUGAUCUUGCAUUAUCAGUAGCAAAGAAUGAGUGUUCUACACUAAAUUCUUUCGAGCAAAAUAUUCCUCAAGGAGUUAAACAUGUGUACCUUGAUAACUGUGAUUCUCUCGAGGAAAAAGCCUUUGAAUUACUUAAUAAAGCAGGACAUGUGCGCACAUUUAUGCUUCCAGACGUGGAUACAGGUCCAGGCAACAAAUCUUUUAUGGAAACAUGCCUCAAGAGGUUCCAACAUUUGCGGGUGCUUAAACUAUCCAGAUCUAAUCUCGAGAUAUUGCCCAAAGGGAUUGGCAAUUUGAAGCACUUAAGGUUUCUCUAUCUAUGCGAUAAUCCCAACAUCAAGAAGCUUCCGAACUCCAUUUGUAAGUUGCAAAAUUUGCAGACUUUGUUGUUUGCCGGUUGUUACAAAAUUGAAGAGUUACCUAGAGAAAUGAGAUACUUAAUCAAUCUCAGAUUUUUAUCAUUAACUACAAAACAAAGGGAUUUACGUGGAUUAGAACAUUUGAAAUCUCUUCGAACCUUAUGUAUUAUAAACUGUAAAAAUCUGGAAUAUUUGUUCGAAGGGAUUCAAAACCUCACAUCCCUUCAAACAUUAUGUAUCUCUGGGUGCAGAAAUUUGACAUCACUGCCACAUGGUUUGAAAUAUCUAACAGCAUUACAAACUCUAUCAAUUAGGGUUUGUGUAAAGCUUGAUUUGAAUAUGACAAUGGGAUUCGAAGGGAAAGAAGAGGAUAAUCAAGACUACCUCGUUGAUAGUGGUUUGUGUCUUCAAAGAUUAGGGAUUACUGGACCGUUACCAAAUCUGGAGGCUCUACCCCAAUGGCUUCUACAAGGAUCUGCCAACACUUUAAAGCAGUUGGACAUUGAACGAUGUGAGAACCUCACAACCACACCAGAGUGGAAAACUCUUACAUCACUUGAAAGGCUUUGGAUUUUCAAGUGCCCAAAGUUAUCAACUCUACCAGAAAAGAUGCAGCGCCUCAAAAGAUUGUCGAUUAUAGAGUGUCCUAUCUUGAGUGAAAGAUGCAAACCGGAAACGGGAGAGGAUUGGCCAAGCAUUGCUCAUGUCUCCCGUAUAUGUCUGGACGGUGCUGAAAUUUCAUCUAAAGAAUUAUCAACCCCAUGAUUCUGUAAGAGUUAAUAUUUUUCUCGCUUCUUCUUUUCUUCUCUUUUUAUUUUUUUUAAUUUGCUUUCCAUAUUUCAUAUUUUUCAUUUGAAAUGUAAAAAAAAUAACAUAUAAAAUGGAGUAAAUAAUGCAUACUUCUAACACAUUUUUAAUAUUUUUUAUUUUUUGUUUUUUUCGUAAAGCAUGCCAAAUAGAUGAUAAAAGUGUUUUUAAACUUUUAGAACUUCUAAAUUUGAUACCACUAUUGUUAGCCUAGAAUGGCAUUUAAGAUUCAUAACUAGUUAAUAUGAUCAGCUAACUACUUAUAUGUUACUUCAUGCCUUGUUAGUAAUAUCACUAUUAUUUCACAAUGAACUAGAAACAAAAUCAAGCAUAUAUAUGAACAUUUGGAUAAAUGAUAAAUAAAUAAAUACAUAAAUAUAUAAAUAUAUAUUUAUUUACAUACAAAAUUACGUCUUUUACUUGAAAAUGUUGGCCAAUUUAGCAUUGUUUGGAAAAUGUCCUAAUUUGGCUUGUGAAUGAGUGGCAGGGCAUACCUCCAUUUUAUUGGUAUUCGGACUGGAAUCCCCCCUUGGUGACUGGACUGCAGUACGGUUGAUGUAAUCCCUCAAAUAGAGUGGAGGGGUGUGCUUGGCUUCCCAUUUCUCCUAAUUGUUGGCUUUGUAUAUUUUAUCUAUCUACUUGUAUUAUGAACAUAUUUGAUGUUUGUUUGUGUACUUAAAUUCCUUUGCUUUGAUUGUUCAUGUAAUCGCUACUCUUUAUUUGUUGGUUUGUUGAAUUGCCUUUGGAUUCAAAAUUUGGUUUGGUUUGGUUGGGUGAUCUAUGUUUGUGUUUAGUUUUUCUCCAAAAUAACUUCAUUCCCUAAUUAGAUUGUGUUGGAAUCUCUUUCCUUCCGAACUAAAUAAAAACCUUUAAUUUGUUCUUUUUCAUUCCCUAAUUCAAUCAAUCACCGUCAAAGUAAAUUUAUUCCAUUGAAAUUAACUUUUGCUUGCAACUGUAGGAUCUCAAAUCAGGAUUUAGUAUGGCAUAUAUAAACUGGUAGUAGUCAUUCUUAUUUCAUGGAUUUUUUUGGAAAAAAAAAAAGAAAUUUGAAUGAAUAAAAUACUAAUGCAUAUGAUAAAUUAUAUUUUAAUGCCUAUUUUUUUAUCAAAAUGAUAGAGGAUUUAUGCGUAAAUAUUUACAUGCAUACACUAAAAGCAAGAUAUACAAAUACCAAGUUUUUUUGAGUGAUUAUCAAUUAGAAUCUUCAGAUUAAUUUCAUAUAUAUCAAUAAUAAAAUUUUUAAACUUCAUAAAUAAAUUUAUAAUAUUAUUAUAUGUCUAUUUAAUAACAACAACCUUAUAAAUAUAUCAUCGAGGAAAGUCUUUAAUUUCACAAGUCUGUUUGUAGUUUAAGUGCCUCAUUUUUGUUGAAAUAUUUUUUGAAAAGUUUUUUACACUGUUUCAAUUUGUAUUUACAAAGAAUUCUUGAUAUUCUUUGCUUUUAUCUCUCUUUUUAUUAAGGCAUAAUAUUCAAAAAAGUCUUUAAAUUAUUUAGAAAAAUUUAAAUAAGUCCUUAAAAAACCCACCAACUCCCUAUAUUCAUGAAUUUUAUUCAAUUUAGUCUAUAUACUCAAAAUCAAAAUAAUUUAAUUUCUUGAUUUUAAAAAUUACUUCAAUUUAGUCAUUCUCUCUAACGACAUUUAAUUUUAUCGUUAAAAUGGGUGACGUCAAUGCUGACAUCAGCACUAACAUGGCAUAUUUUAAUAAUGUGGUAUGCCAGGUGGCAUUAACUUAAUGAUGUGGUAGUGCCACGAGGUAGAUCAAAAAUUUUUUUAAAAAAUUUUUGUGCCACGUCAUAAGAAUUAAAUUGAACAAAAAUAUAUAGUAGACAGAUUAAAUUGAACAAAAUUGAGAUGCAAAAAGACUAAAUUGAAAAAUAUAAAUCUUUAAGUAAAUUAUAGAUAUACUUAUUAAUAAGCCAAAUGUUUAAGUAUAAAAGAAUUAUGAUGUUAAAAAUAUAUAUAUUUUUUCUUACUUGAUUAUUUGAUUUUAUAAUAUAUACAUUACUUUUUUUUUGCAAAAAUUAAGUAUGAAUUCUUCUUCUAUAAACAAAUUCCGAAAAAAAUGUAAAGCUUAAAGUCAAAUUUAGAUGAAUAACUUGUAUUAUGUUAGAAUAAAAUAAUAUAAAAGAACUAAAUAAAUUCUUUUUUUUCUAUUUAUAAUAGUAUAAAAAUUUAAAAUUUAUUUGAUUUAAUUUUUAAUUUGAGAUGAAUUCAAAUUAGCAAAAUAGGUUGAUUUAGUUACAACUUUCACAAUUUACAAAUACCUAUUUUUUUUGGAAUUAUUCAACCCUUACCCAAUUUACCUUUUACUCAAAUUUACUCAAAUUUUCUUAUAAAAUAAUUUUAUUUAAGUUCAAAUACCACAAUUAAAUUUUGCUGAAUUUAAAUUUAAAUUAUUAAUUUGGAUAUACAAAAAAUUUGGAAAUACAAAAUAAAAUUGUACAAAUAUUUACAAUUAUACUUAAUUCCAUCAACUAAAUGCAAUCUUUAAUCCAGAAACAUAAAAAAAUAUAAACUGAAAUAUUUCACAAAAUAAAAAUAUAAAAAAUUGAAGGAGUGGAGUAACUCAUAUUUUAUAGUUGUAAUAAGAGGUUUGUCAUACCCAAAUUAAGCAAGUCAGAACAAAUAAUUAUUUUUAUAAUCAUCGUUAACUCCACAUCUCCAUUUUUCAUUUUUUUAAAAGAAAAAAUUAAAUCAACUUAUUUUACUAAUUAUUUAAUCUUUUUAUAUUAUUUUAUUCCAACAUAAUGCAAAUUAUUUAUCUAAAUUUGACUUUAGGUAUGAAAUUUUUUUUCUUUUUUUUUAUAGAAUGAGAAUUCAAACUUAAUUUUUGCAAAGAAGAUAAAUUAAUGUCUAUAUUCUAUAAUCAAAUAAUCAAGUAAGAAAUAUAUAUAUAUAUAUAUAUAUAUAUAUAUAUAUUAACAUCAUAAAUCUUUUACAUUUAAAUAUUUGGCUUAUUAAUAAGUAUAUCUAUCAUCUACUUAAAGAUUUGUAAUUUUGAAAUUUUUUUUAAUUUAAACCCUCAACAUCUCAAUUUUGUUCAAUUUAAUCCUAGUAUUAUACAUUUUUAUUUAAUUUAAUCCUUAUGAUGUGGCACAAAAAAAUUUUUGAAAAUUUUUUAAUUUGUCAUGUGGCACUGACACAUCAGCAUGUCAAUGCCACAUCAACAUUGCCAUGCCAUCAUAUUAGUGCCAUGUGGCAUUGCCACAUAAUCAAGUUGGUAUCAUGUGGCAUGCCACAUCAUCAAAAUAUACCACGUCAGUAUUGAUGUUAUUCCUUUUAAAGACAAAAUUGGAUGUUGUUAGGAUGAGGAACUAAAUUAAAGCAAGUUUCAAAAUCAAGAGAUUAAAUUACUUCGAUUUUAAGUAUAGGGAUUAAAUUAAAUAAAAUGCAUGAGUACAAGGACUUGGUGGGCAUUUUGACCAUACUUUUAUUACGUUUAAUCAAGUCCUUAUAUUUUUAUUAUGAACCAAAUAAACCCUUAUAUUUUUAUUUUAAGUCAAAUAAAUUCUUAUGACUAAUUAUUAAUGACUUAAUCAAAAUGUCAUUUGUUAUUUUAUACCAUAUGACACCGACAUGACAUGCUAACAUGUUAUAAUUGAUGAUGAUAUGGCAUGUUGACAUAUCAUAAUUGAUAAUGACGUGAUAUGCUAAUUAAAUAUUAUAAUAUGAUUAUAUAACAUUUUUCACUCUUCACAUUAACAGCAUAUUAAUAGCAUAUGGAUAUAAAAUGAUGAGUGGCAUUUUAACAAAUAACAAUUAGCCAAUCAUUAAUCAUAAAGGUUUAUGUGAUUCAAAAUAAAAGUAUAAUCACUUAAUUGAACACAAUAAAAGAAUAAUGAUUUAUUUAUAUAUUUUUUAAUAACUUAAGAGUUUAUUUGAACAUUAUGUCUUUUGUUAAUGAAAACUUAUAGAAUAUUUAAAAGUUUUUUUAAACAAGUCACCAUCAAUGUACAUGACAACUUUUUCUAUCUAAUUAAAUUUGACCAAGUAAAUAGGUGCCAAAUUCCAAUUUACUUUAACAUGGUGAUGGUCGGCUGUGACUAAUUACAGCAUGAAAGCAGAGCCGUGUAUAAGUAUUCCCUCCCACUGGUCAAGCUCUAGCAACCUAGAAGGUUUUAACAUAUUUGAACGAACAGGGCUCCAUGAAAAAGGGGAAAAAUAGAGAAUAAUGAAGGUUAUAAAGGUACUACCGUACAAACUUUUUGAAAAAGUAUGAAACAAACAAAGGGGUAUUUUAAAAAAUGAUCUUUAAAGAUAAGAUAUUUUUAAAAAUAGUACUAUUUAUAAGUUUAAUUAUUUUUAGUUAAGUUAGAUAAAAUUACUCUUAAUGAAGUUGCACGCUAUGAUGUUACACGCUAUGUACAAAAAUAUGUGACACGUCAUGUACAAAAACUUAUGACAAGUUAUGGUUAAUUUGUUACACAUUAUGUAUAAAAACCUGUGACAAGCCGUGGUUAGCGUGUUACACGCUAUGUACAAAAAUAUAUGACACGUUACGUACAAAAACUUGUAACAAGCCGUGAUUAGCGUGUUACACGUUAUGUACAAAAAAUAUGUGACAAGCCAAGUACAAAAUCUCGUGACAAAUUAUGGUUAGCUUGUUAUAUGCCAUGUACAAAAACUCGUGACAAGUUAAGGUUAGGUUGUUACACGUCAUGUUGAAAAAAAAUACUGUUAUUACACGCCAUAUAAAAAAACAUGUACAUUGCCAUGGUUAAAAAAGGUUAUUACACGUCAUGUUGAAAAAAAAAUAUUGUUGUUACACGUCAUGUUAAAAAAAUAUUAUUGUUACACGACAUAUUCAAAAACAUUUUGUUAUACUUUAAUGUUUAAAAUGUUGUUGUUGUUACUUACGAACGAAAACUUUAAAUCCUCUCAACUUUUUUUUUUGUUUUUCUGACAAUUUGGCACAAAUUAAAGUGUUUCUAACAUGUUUUUAUAAAUCAAAAUACAAAUGUUUUUUUAUCUAAAAUACUUACUUUGACUAAAAAAAAAAUCUUUGAAAACCUAGAUUUAUAAAUUUCAAAAUUUUGAGUUUAUUGGUAUCUAGAUCCCGAAUUGAUUCAAUUAAAAACUAUUUUAUACAUUUGUAAUUAUUUUUACAGUUUUAUUUUUAUCCAAAAUACUUAAAAAUCGAAUUUCUCAAACAGUCACCUACUACCCAAGCACGUCAAAACCAUUGCUUGGUGUCUUGAAAGCAUAAGAAAGAGAAAUCUAAAAACACGGGAGAGAGAAAUCGGAAGCAUAACAGAUGAAUGUCGAAUAGAAAAAUCGAUAAAAUUUGAGAGACUGUGAUGGUGAGAGAAAAAUCCGAAGCACAGAUGAGAAGUAAUAGGGAGAAAUUGUAAUGAAUGGUUUAAUUUAUUUGAAAUAGUUUAAAGGGUAUUUUCGUCAAUUCAUGACUAAAUAUGAGUAAAAACAGUUAAACUUAUUUUGAUGGUUACUUUUAAAAUGUCUUUAUAAAGAAAGGUCAUCUCCCACAAUUUUCUCAACAAAAAUUAUUAUAUAUGUAUAUAAUUAGUGGUAAUAAAAUAUCAAGCUAUAUUGAAAAUUUUGGCAUAAUAAUGUGCCCCAUUGAUUCCAAAUAUCCAGCAUCCAGUGGAAAAGCUCGUCACGAACACAUUCAUUGGCAGGACAAAAUCCACCAAACUAUCACCUUGUUUCCGAAGAAUUUUUAUCAAGAAAGCAGUGAGCUUCAAGGGUGCAGCGACAGUGAUUGGACUAGUUCCAUUGAUGAUUCCAAAAGCACUUGCAGAUUCUGUUUCUCUUUUGAAAGUGUAGUCUUCACCUGGAAUUCAAAGAAACAGGAAUUAGUAGCUCAAUUAUUAGUUGAGGUUGAGCAUAUUACUGCUGCUUUAGCUGCUAACCAUGCUCAAUGGUUAAGAAAGAUUUUAUCCAAUGUGGGAUUCAAUCAAGACAAAUGAACCAUAUUGAAGGUUGAUAAUCAAUCUGCUAUAAUCAUAGCAAAAAGUCUUAUUCAGUAUGAUCAAAUUAAACACAUUCGAGUUAAAUUUCAUAUUUUGCGAGAUAUAUUGAAAGAAUAGGAAAUUCGAUUGGAAUAUUGUCACAUAGACCUCCAGUUGGCAAAUAUUCUCACUAAAAGUCUGAGCAAAGACAGAUUCGAAUUUUUAAGGAAUGAAUUGGGUGUUUACCAGACAGGGAUCAAGGAGGGGUGUUGAGAACUUUGAUCCCAAUCUGGUUCAGUUUAGAAGGGAAGGGAGUUUGGCGGGAAUGAACAGAUUCAAGACAGGAAGGAGACUUAAACGAUGCCGUUUUAACUUCACUAAUUGGGCUGUUUUAAGCUGCAAGCAAAACGCUGAGGGAUGGCACCGUUUAGACAAAAUAAAUCCUUUUUUUAAACGCAAGUCCUUAUGUCGUUUAGUUUAUAAGCUUGUUAAUUGGCUGUUAAAGCCACGUGUUCUUUCUUCUUUCUAUAGUUUUUUGUUGGUUUGUUACUUUCUCGAUGGCGGUGUUGCUGAGCAUCAAAUUCUGUGACGAAUUUGUUGCUUUUUUCUAUGUUUUCUGAAUCCAAAAGAAUUUGUACAGAUGGCAAUAUUUUCUACUUAGUAUUUAACUAAGAAAUGAAAAGAGAAAAGUGUGUGAAGCAUUUUCUUUAUUUUGUUUCAUUUUCAAGUUUUUCCUUCUUCUCCUUUUGCUUCUCUGCAAAUCUCUUACGUUCAUUACUCUCUGGAAUAUUGAUAAACAUUCAAUAGACAGGGAGACCCACUCCUUUGUACAAGCAUCAGAUAUCAUUGGUAGAGAUUAAGACAAAGAAAAAAUCAUAAAACGUUUGCUGCAAGAUCCAAUUGAUGAGGAAGAUAUAUCUGUCCUUCCUCAAACGAAAAUGAAGAGCCUCAAGACAUUGGUAGGCAUUAUUUGAAUGAGUUAUCAUCAUGAUCUUUUUUUAAGAUUUUUAUAAAGAUUUAUCUGUCCAGUAUUUUAAAAUGGAUGAUUUUUUACUUGAUCUUGUAUUAUCAGCUGUAAACAUUUACAUAUAUUGUCUAGAAUAAUGAUGAUAUUUCCAUUUAAACUUACUAAUUACAUUAUCAGUUUUUUUAUAUUGAUUCAUUUGAACUCCCACUUAUGAUGCAUCCAGAACAAUUAAUCCAUUUUUAUUGAUUGAAGCCCCAUUAAAGUUUUGGCCCAUCAAAUCCAAACACAGCUUGGUAGCACAAAAUUCAUUUCUUUUUUGAUUUAUAUGAUGCAAGUUGUAUAGCAAAUUGUUGUAUUUUAGUAUUUAAUGGAUAUGAGGUUUGCACUUGGAAGCACGACACCCAACUACUCUGCUCUUUUCCAAGUCAACGUCUAAUUUUCCUUGCAUCUUUCUCUUUUCCCAGCUGCUUCUUUCCUUUGUGAUCGACCUGCGUUAUUGCUUGACGAUUGUCGGUAGAAACAGACACCAUUUCGUAGAAAUUCUCUUCCUCUCCAACAGUUUCUUUCUUUCUUUUCCUCCUUGUUUAAUGCCAUCAAUAAACCUCAUCAGCAGAAGACUUAGCACAAUUUCCCCCCACCAAAAAUGGUUGAAUCCUUCGCAUUUAACAUUGCUGAAAAUGUCCUCUCGAAACUAGCCAAUAUUGCAUAUCAAGAAAUUCGCCUUGCUUGGGGUGUCCAGAGUGACCUUGAAAAGCUUAAGACGACUUUAACUACCAUCAAAGCUGUGCUUUUAGAUGCUGAAGAAAAACAGGCUCAUGACAAUCAGCUGCGGGUUUGGCUUCAAGAGCUUAGGGAUGCCUGUUAUGAUGCAGAUGAUGUGUUGGAUGAAUUUGAAAUCGAAGCACUGCGGAAGCAAGUUGUGAAACAGAGGAGUGUAGGAAAGAAGGUAAGUCAUUUCUUUUCAAGCUCAAACCCACUUGCUUUUCGGUUUAAGAUGGGACAUAAGAUUAAAAAAGUUACUGAGAGUUUCGUUGAGAUUGCAGCUUUGAAAAAUAAUUUUCAUCUCAUUGAGAGACAUGAUGGCCCUGGGCAUGUGGUGCGCCUGGACAGGGAGACCCACUCCUUUGUGCAGGCAUCGGAGGUCAUUGGCAGAGAUGAAGAGAAAGAGAGAAUCAUAAAAAUGUUAAUGCAAGAUCCAGCUGAUGAGGAAGACAUUUCCGUCCUUCCCAUAGUUGGAAUCGGAGGUCUUGGGAAGACCGCCCUUGCGAAAUUGGUAUUCAAUGAUGGAAGGGUAGAUAUGCAUUUUGGGUUGAAAAUGUGGGUGUGUGUUUCAGAUGAUUUUGAUCUGAAACGAUUAGUUCUGAAAAUCAUUAAAGCUGGAAAGGAGGGUGAUGGAGACCUUGGUAACAUGAAUUUGGAGCAAUUACAGAAGGUGUUACGAGAUUGUUUGAAGGGUAAUAAAUAUUUACUCAUCUUAGAUGAUGUGUGGAGUGAGGAUAAUAGAAAAUGGCAAGAACUGAAACAAUUGUUAGUGGGAGGAGCUAACGGAAGCAAAAUUGUGGUCACCACUCGCAGUAACCAAGUUGGAAAGACGGUCGGUACAAUCCCUCCGCACAAGUUGGAAGGUCUUCCUUAUGACCAAUCUUUAUCUUUGUUUCUCAAAUUUGCAUUCAAGGGAGGAGAAGAGAAACAACAUCCGAACCUUGUAAAAAUUGGGGAAGAAAUUGUUAAAAAAUGCAAAGGGGUUCCUUUGGUUGUGAAGACAUUGGGGAGUUUACUUUUCUCCAAAAUUUCAGAACAUGAGUGGAAACUUGUGAAAGAUAGUGAGACGUGGGAAUUAAUGGAAAAAGAAAAUGAAAUAUUUUCUGUUCUAAAACUAAGUUAUGAUCAACUACCUCCUCAUCUGAAGCAAUGUUUUGCUUAUUGUUCACUCUUUCCAAAGGAUUAUGGAUUUAAUGAAUUUGACACAGUCCAAUUUUGGAUGGCUCAUGGUCUUAUUCAGACCUCCAAAAACAAUGAAGAUCUGGAGGAUAUUGGGAGGCAGUAUUUGAACGAUCUACUGUCAAGGUGUUUUUUCCAAGAUUAUGAGUAUGGUCUUGAUUUUAUUGAAUUUAAAAUGCAUGAUCUUUUACAUGAUCUUGCACUAUCAGUAGCAAAAAAUGAGUGUUGUACAAUAAAUGCUUCCAAGCAAAAUAUUGUCCAGGGAGUUCGACAUUUGUGCCUUACUAACUGUGAUUCUCCUGGAGAAAGUGACUUUAAAUUACUUAAUAAAGUAAGACAUUGGCGCUCAUUUAGGUGUGCAGAUACGAAUAUAGGUCCUACCAACAAAUCCUUUAUUGAAGCAUGCCUCAAGAGGUUCCAACAUUUGCGGGUGCUUGAUUUAGAAGGAUCUAAUCUCGAGGUAUUGCCCAAAAGGAUUGGGGAUUUGAAGCAUUUAAGGUAUCUCGACCUAUCCAACAAUCACAACAUCAAGAAACUUCCGAACUCCAUCUGUAAGUUGCAAAAUUUGCAAACCCUAUAUCUUGAUGGUUGUGACAAACUUGAAGAGUUGCCUAGAGAUAUGGGAUACUUAAUCAGUCUUAGAGCUUGGACAUUAACUACAAACCAAAAGCUUCUACGGGGAUUAGAAUGCUUGAAAUCUCUUCGAUAUUUGUGUAUCCGUGACUGUAAAAAUCUGGAAUAUUUGUUUGAAGGGAUUGAGAACCUCACAUCACUUCAAUUAUUAGGUAUUUAUGGUUGCAGAAACUUGAUAUCACUGCCAUAUGGUUUGAAAUAUCUAACUGCAUUACAUACUCUAAUAAUUGGGGAUUGUGAAAAGCUUGAUCUGAAUACGACAGUGGGACUCAAAGAGAAAGAAGAUGAUAAUCAAGACUACCUUGUUGGUAGUGGUUUGUGUCUUCAAACAUUAGGGAUCGUUGGACCGUUACCAAAGCUGGAGGCUCUACCCCAAUGGCUUCUACAAGGAUCUGCCAAUACUUUAAAGCACCUGACAAUUGGAGGAUGUGAGAACCUCACGACCUCACCAGAGUGGAAAAAUCUUACAUUACUUGAAAAGCUUGAGAUUAUGGAUUGCCCAAAAUUAUCAACUCUGCCAGAAAAGAUGCAGCGCCUCAAAAAACUGUGGAUUAAAGAUUGUCCUGUUUUGAGUGAAAGAUGCAAACCGGAAAGCGGAGAGGAUUGGCCCAACAUUGCUCAUGUCUCUCGUAUAUAUCUGGACGGUGAUGAAGUUUCAUCUAAACAAUCAUCGGCCCCAUGAUUUGGUAAGACCUAAUAUUUUUCUCUCUUCUUCUUUUGUUUUCGUUUUUGUAAUUUGCUUUCCUUCGUUCCAUAUUUUGUAUUUGAAACGUAAAAAGAAAUAACAUAUAAAAUCGAGUAACGUUUUUUUUUUUUUUGUAAAACAUGCCAGAUAGAUCGAUGAUAUAUAAAAGUGUUUUUUAAACCUGUAGAACUUUUAAAUUUUACUAUUUUUUUUUUGUACAAAACUUCUAUAUUUUGGACCACUAUUUUUAGUCUAUAAAUCCCAUUUAAGAUUCAUAACUAGUUAUGAUCAGCUAGGUGGUAGUGAUAUGUUACAUGCCUAGUUAUUAAUAUCACUAUUAUUUCACAAGGAACCAAAAACAAAAUUAAAUAUCUGAACAUUUGUAUCAAUAGAAAGGGUAUAUAUCUUUUAAUGUAAAAGUUAAGUGUGUGAAUAUUCUUUUCCUCGCCAAAAAGAAAAAAAAAUCAAAAUCUUUAAACUAUGAUGGGGUUUAUUUUCAUUUGAAAUUGUUUUUGUGGUUGUUGGUCUUUUAUUAUUUAUUGUUUUCAUUUUAUAAAAAUGAAGCACAAAAUAUACUUUCAAAAAUUUUUAAAAUAUAUAUAUAUUCAUCUUUGGAUAAUAAAAGAUAUUAGUAUUCCCCUUCCCCCAAAAUAAAAAAAAAAGAUUAUGUUCACAUUUAUCAUGUUUUAAUAAUUUUUUUAGGCAGCAAUUGGUAUUGCUCUUAAUUUUGUUUUAUUUUCAUUGAAAUAUAUUAAUUGAAGCUUUUACUAGCUAGCAGCCUAGUACUUCCUUGACACUGUUAUGUUAUGAAAAAACCAUUGAAGCAAAUAGUAGAUGGUAAAAAGUGAAAAAAAGUAACAUUCUUUUGUGAGAGUAAUUGGAAAAAGUUACAUUUAAUUUGGGAAAUUUCCUAAUUUGGCUUGUGAAUGGGUGGCAGGGCAUAUCUCCAUUUUAUUGGUAUUGGGACUGGAUGGAAGUACAGUUGCUGUAAUCCCUGAAAUAGAGUGGAGGGGGUGUGCUUGGGCUUGGCUUCUCAUUUCUCCUACUUGUUGGCUUGUAUUAUGUCUACCUACUUGUGUUAUGAACAUACAUACUUGAUGUUUGUUAAUGUACUUAAAUUCCUUUGCUUUGGAUUGUUCAUGUGAUCCCUACUCUUUAUUUGUUGGUUUGUUGUAUUGCCUUUGGAUUCAAAAUUUGGUUUGUUUUGGUUUGGUUGGGUGAUCUAUGUUUAUAUAUAUUUAGUUUUUCUCCAAAAUAACUUCUUUAAUUCUUAAAUGCCUUCUACUUGACAUUUUGUUGUUUUAAAGGUUAUAAUUCCUUUAAAAAAAAGGAAAAUUGAAUGAAUAAAAGACUAAUGCAUGUGAUAAAUUAUAUUUUAAUGCUUUAUUUUUAUGAAGAAGAAAGAGGAUUUACACGUAAAUAUUUAUGUACAUAUACUAAAAGUAUAAUAUAUAAACAAAAAAAGAGAUAACAAUUGAGAUUAUCAAAUACAUGUUAGGUCUAAUUUUUUAAAUAUAUUUAAUUUAGAUAACUUGAAAACACGUAAAUAUCAUAUUGGUUUGAAAACUUAAAUGAGUUUGCACUUGAUAAUUUGAUUUAAUAGUGAGAUAUAUUUUAUCUUUGUUACAAAGAGUUAAGUUCAAAUUUUACAUUUUAAUUUUAUAAAAAAUAAUUUAAUAAUUGAUUUGUUAAAAUAUUAUUUUAUAUUAAAAAUGUAAAAAAUUAUUUUAAAAAAAAAGAAGGACGGGUUUCAUUUUUAGAGUAGGAUUGCAAAAAGAAUAAACAAAAAAAUCUGCGGGCCGAGGGCCCGAGACACACAGAUACAAAAAUACAAGUCCGGGGAAAAGUAAAGCAGAGAGGGGCCGCAGCCAUGGAAGAGACGAAGAGAGAAAUGAAGAACGAAACAGAAAAGAUAUGCAAGAGAUGCAAGCAGAGCUACACUACGUCUUCUAAUACUUCCGCUUCUUACCGUUUCCACCCUUCUUUCUUUGUUUGUCGUCGUCAUGACGACCAAAUUUUAUCUACCUACUUGUGUUAAUGACAUAUAUAUUUGAUGUUUGUCGAUGUACUUAAAUUCCUUUACUUUGGAUUGUUCAUGUGAUCCCUACUCUUUAUUUGUUGGUUUGUUGUAUUGCCUUCAGAUUCAAAUUUUGGUUUGUAAUAUGUUUAUGUUUAGUUUUUCUCCAAAAUAACUUCAUUAAUAAUUCUUAAAUGUCUUCUACUUUCAACUUUCAAGGUUGAGAUUUUGUGGUUUUAAAUGUUAUAAUUCCUUCAAAACAAAUUUUCUCCAUUUACUAAUUUAAUUAUAAUUACAUUGUGUUGUAAUCUCUUUCCUUUCAAACUAAACAGAAAUCUUUGGUUCUUUUCCAUUCCCUAAUUCAAUCAAUUACUGUCAAUGUAAAUUUAUUCCAUUGAACUUAACUUUUGCUUGCAAGUUCAGGAUCUGAAAUGGUAGUAGUCAUGCUUAUUUCAUGGAUUUUUUUUUAAGAAAAAAAGGAAAUUUGAAUGAAUAAAAUACUAAUGCUUGUGAUAAAUUAUAUUUUAAUGCUUACUUUUUCUUUUAUGAAGAUGAAAGAGGAUUUACACAUAAAUAUUUACAUACAUAUAUACACCAAAAGUACAACACAUAAAUAUAAAAAAGAGAUAACAAUUGAGACUAUCAAAUACAUGUUAAAUCUCUUUUUUUUUUUACAAAAGUUAAGUUAAAUUUUUUAAGUAUAUUUAGUUUAGGUAACUCGUAAACACGUAAAUAUCAUAUUGAUUUGAAAACUUAUAUGAGUUUGCACUUGAUUAUUUGAUUUAACAGUGAGAUGUACUUUAUUUUUGUUUCAAAGAGUUAAGUUCAAAUUUUACUUUUUAAUUUUAUAAAAAAAUAAAAUUAUGGGAUUAUGAAUAUAUUAUUAAAUUUAAUAAUUGAUUUGUUAAAAUAUCAUUUUAUAUUAAAUGUAAAAAUUAAAAACAAAAUACAACAUUAUAUAAGUUAAUCACAAAUCUGGUCUUCUACUUUUGUGGGGAUUGCAACGGGAAUAAACAUGAAAAUCUGUGGGCCGAGAGCCCGAGACACACAGAUAGACAAAUACAAGUCCAGGAAAAAGAAAAAAGCAGGGAGAGGCUGCAGCCAUGGAAGAGAAGAAGAGAGAAAUGGAGAAAGAAACUGAAAAGAUAUGCAAGAGAUGCAAGCAGAGCUACGCUGGGUCUUCUAACACUUCCGCUUCUUGCCGUUUCCAUCCUUGUUUCUUUGUCUGUCAUCGUCAUGACGAAUAAAAGAGGCAAUGACGAAGUCAGAAUUUUGUGUUGGGUGGGAGACGAAAAGCCGAAGACAAUAUAAAGCAACUUACAUGAUAAAAUUCAUAUAAAAAUAUAUAAAUAUUUUUAUAUUUUAGAACCGUUGUAGUGUCCAUUGAAAAGCACAGAAUUCCAAGUCCAGAAUCCUGUGCUUAGCUGUUAUUCCUCAGCACUUCACUCUCAUAUACAGAAGUUUAUGCUUCCAAGACGUUUUUUGACAGCUCUAAGAAGAGGCGAAUAACAUGGGGCUGGAUAGCAGAGAUGGAUGGUGAUGCAAAUGCCCUUGAGAAAGGAUGGGUCGGGGUUUCAGGUAAUCCAACUUGAAUUUUUAUAUUCACUCUUAUUAGCUCUCCGGUUCAUCACUCGUUUAAUAUAUAUAUUCAUAUAUGAAAAUUGACAGUACUCAUUUUGCAAUGCAAUCUGUGUUGACAGUCAAUUCCUAGAAGCAUUCUGCUCAGUAAAACUGGAAAGCAAUUGAUUCAAUGGCCAAUCAAAGAGAUUGAGACUCUUCGUGCGGAGAAUGUAAGCAUCCAGUCGAAGCAGCUGAAGGGUGGAUCAGUUCUUGAAGUUUUGGGAGUAACAGCUUCACAGGUAACAAGUUUAAUCCUAAUUAACAAUUAUACCUGUCCCCAAAUCAUACACUUGGAAGGAUAAUUAUGUUGAUUUUUCCAUGUGCAGGCCGAUGUAGAAGUAGCAUUUGAUUUAACCAAUUUGAAGGAGGCUGAAUUCAUGGUCCCAGAUGGGGUUGAUCCUCGAGCACUCGGUAGCCAACAGACAGCAUCAUUUCGAGGCAUGGUUGGGCCAUUUGGAUUACUAGUUUUAGCUUCUCAAGGUUUGACAGAGCAAACUGCGGUCUUCGUUCGCAUCUUCAGAAGCCGUGGAAAAUAUGUUGUGCCCAUGUGUAGUGAUCAAAGCAGGUUCAGUUUUUAUUCCAUGCUUUUUGUGACUGUUAAUUUGAGUUGCUUCAUUUCCUCCUGAUUUGAAGUCAGACUCAAAUUCAGAUUACAAAUUUUAACAGGUCUACAUUUAGGGAAGGCCCAGACAAGACCACCUAUGGAGCUUUCAUUGACAUAGACCCCCGUCAGGAGAAGAUUACACUAAGAACCUCGGUUCGUUGCCUACUUAAAACAUAUGAUUCAUUUUAGAACUUUGUCUCAAUAUUCAAACCAUUUUACGUCCUGGACUUUACUCACAAUUAAAUUUAUACAUUGAUUUCACCAUUGCAGAUAGAUCAUUCGGUUGUAGAAAGUUUCAGUGGGAAGGGAAGAGCCUGCAUUACCGCUAGAGUUUAUCCAGCUCUGGCCGUAGACAGCCAAGCUCACCUGUACGUAUUCAAUAACGGAACCGUGGAUGUCACAAUCUCAAGGCUCGAUGCCUGGAGCAUGAAGAAAGCUCAACUUGUUUCUGCCAAUAUAUAGAAAACCCCAUAUCAAUAGACAAUGUAAUUUUGAAUAAGGCUGGACAGAUCAUUGAUUGCUCUCCAUUUGUACACAAAGUCUCUUGUGCAAUAACAGAG
Molecule: long non-coding RNA, 23050 nt
Filed under: Theobroma cacao (cacao)
Lineage: Eukaryota; Viridiplantae; Streptophyta; Magnoliopsida; Malvales; Malvaceae
Description: long non-coding RNA (TCAC_LNC003510)
Source: RNAcentral